UAGCUUGUUGGUGUGGUAACGGCACACCAAGGCUACGAUGACUAGGGGGUCUGAAAGGAUGAUCCCCCACACUGGUACUGAGACACGGACCAGACUCCUACGGGAGGCAGCAGUGAGGAAUAUUGCGCAAUGGAGGAAACUCUGACGCAGCCAUGCCGCGUGCAGGAUUGACGGCCCUAUGGGUUGUAAACUGCUUUUCUGUGCCAUGAACCUUCCCUACGUGUAGGGAACUGACAGUAGCACAAGAACAAGCAUCGGCUAACUCCGUGCCAGCAGCCGCGGUAAUACGGAGGAUGCAAGCGUUAUCCGGAUUCACUAGGUUUAAAGGGUGCGUAGGCGGGAGGAUAAGUCAGUGGUGAAAGCCUGCGGCUCAACCGUAAAAUUGCCAUUGAUACUGUCCCCCUUGAGUCCGGCUGUGGUGAGUGGAAUGAGUAAUGUAGCGGUGAAAUGCUUAGAUAUUACUCAGAACUCCAAUCGCGAAGGCAGCUCACCAAACCGGCACUGACGCUGAGGCACGAAAGCGUGGGGAGCAAACAGGAUUAGAUACCCUGGUAGUCCACGCUGUAAACGUUGAUCACUCGUCGUUGGCAAUACAUCGUCAGCGGCUUAGCGAAAGCAUUAAGUGAUCCACCUGGGGAGUACGUCAGCAAUGAUGAAACUCAAAGGAAUUGACGGGGGCCCGCACAAGCGGAGGAACAUGUGGUUUAAUUCGAUGAUACGCGAGGAACCUUACCUGGGCUUAAAUGUAGAGUG
Molecule: ribosomal RNA, 753 nt
Filed under: uncultured organism
Description: bacterial SSU rRNA
Rfam family: Bacterial small subunit ribosomal RNA
Source: RNAcentral